UACAGAGGGGGCAAGCGUUAUUCGGAAUUAUUGGGCGUAAAGGGCGCGUAGGCGGCCUGGCAAGUGGAAGGUGAAAUCCCUCGGCUUAACCGAGGAACUGCCCUCCAAACUGCUUGGCUUGAGUCCGGGAGAGGAGAGUGGAAUUCCUGGUGUAGCGGUGAAAUGCGCAGAUAUCAGGAAGAACACCCGUGGCGAAGGCGGCUCUCUGGAACGCAACUGACGCUGAGACGCGAAAGCGUGGGGAGCAAACAGG
This 253-nucleotide ribosomal RNA is filed under the name uncultured bacterium. Its description in RNAcentral is "partial 16S ribosomal RNA". It matches the Rfam family "Bacterial small subunit ribosomal RNA", at positions 524 to 776 of the family's 1533-position model. The record is from RNAcentral.